RNAcentral lists this ribosomal RNA (274 nucleotides) under uncultured bacterium. Its description in RNAcentral is "partial 16S ribosomal RNA". It matches the Rfam family "Bacterial small subunit ribosomal RNA", at positions 523 to 796 of the family's 1533-position model. The record is from RNAcentral.
AUACGGAGGGUGCAAGCGUUAAUGGGAAUUACUGGGCGUAAAGCGCGCGUAGGCGGUUUGGUAAGUCGGAUGUGAAAGCCCCGGGCUCAACCUGGGAAUUGCAUUCGAUACUGCCAGACUAGAGUAUGGUAGAGGGAAGUGGAAUUCCGGGUGUAGCGGUGAAAUGCGUAGAUAUCCGGAGGAACACCAGUGGCGAAGGCGACUUCCUGGACCAAUACUGACGCUGAGGUGCGAAAGCGUGGGGAGCAAACAGGAUUAGAAACCCCAGUAGUCC